UUUUAGUCUACUACAUUUUUGUUGGGAUAAAAGAUAUUCUACUAAAAGCAUGAGAAUUAAAAUGUUACAUGGCCCAAUGGCUACGUAGUCCAAUACACUUCGAAGGAGAGCCAAUUUUGAAUCAGAAAAAGCCCAAUGGUGGCUAGAAAGAAGAGAUGGCCCAAGAAGGAGAGUAAUCAUGUACGGAUUCCUCGAGGCUGAGAUGAUGAAUCGAUUGAACAGAGAAGAAGAUUCGAUAAUGGAGGUUGAAGGAGGACAAACAGAGAACCAUGUCUGAAGCAUUUCAGAAGCUCGAUGGGGAUUUGAUUGGCGAAGUCUUGCUGUUCGAUUUCAGACAGUUAGUUCAGCCUCCCGAAUCAAAGCAUCGACAUAUUUGAAUCAAUAUGGAAGCGAUUAUUACAGAGAAGAUCAUCCUAUAUGCGGGAGGAGAGGUCGUUGCAACGACGGGAUAUAUUUUCUCAGACUACCCGUCGUUGUUUCAUUCAAUUUGACUUUAAUCGUUCUCAAAAUCUCUGGCCAGUUGAUUUAAUAACUCUAAUAUAAUUAGCACAUGCAAGAAAUGAUUCUCAAGAUUUUUACACGGAUUUGCUUAUCUUCAUUGUGAAACAUCAGUAAGAUAAGCAAAAUGAGAAGAGACAACAAAAAAGGAUCUUAAACUUGGACGCACAUGAAGCUUUGUAAAGUCUCAAAUCUAUGAGAUUGGAGAAUGAAGCAGCCAUUGAUUUCUGAAAAGUCUUCUUUUAUUGUGUUAAAAGGUAGCAGCAAAUAUGGAAGCAUUUGGUGAAAGAUUUCGGGUAAAAUGCUCAAUUAAGGUAAGAUCCGAGAUUGAUUUUUCCGGGUCAAAAACAUUAAAUUUCCGGGUCAAAAUUAAACAAAUUUUGACCCGAUUUGGGUA
Molecule: long non-coding RNA, 895 nt
Organism: Arabidopsis lyrata subsp. lyrata
Lineage: Eukaryota; Viridiplantae; Streptophyta; Magnoliopsida; Brassicales; Brassicaceae
Exons: 5
Source: RefSeq, a predicted model, not a curated record